Molecule: long non-coding RNA, 206 nt
Filed under: Elaeis guineensis (African oil palm)
Lineage: Eukaryota; Viridiplantae; Streptophyta; Magnoliopsida; Arecales; Arecaceae
Description: long non-coding RNA (EGUI_LNC075471)
Source: RNAcentral
CACGAGCUCCAAACUGCCUUGCCAAACACAUAGACAAGCUACAAGAUCUGGAUCCAUUAAUUAACAUCCAUCCUCUCAACUUGUGCACAUGAAGAGAUUCUUAUUUGAGCUCAGCAAUGUCCUUCAAUUUGUCAUAUUUCUUAUAAAAAAGAGAAAAUAUAGAAAUAAACCCAAAAAAAAAUGAUCUGUAAGAAGGGAUAAAAGUG